AUGAACGCUGGCGGCGUGCCUAAUACAUGCAAGUCGAGCGAACAGACGAGGAGCUUGCUCCUCUGACGUUAGCGGCGGACGGGUGAGUAACACGUGGAUAACCUACCUAUAAGACUGGGAUAACUUCGGGAAACCGGAGCUAAUACCGGAUAAUAUAUUGAACCGCAUGGUUCAAUAGUGAAAGACGGUUUUGCUGUCACUUAUAGAUGGAUCCGCGCCGCAUUAGCUAGUUGGUAAGGUAACGGCUUACCAAGGCAACGAUGCGUAGCCGACCUGAGAGGGAUGAGGGCCCACAGGGGAGAGGGACCCGGGCCAGACCUCUGGGGGGGGGAGGCGUGGGGGAUUCUCCGGCAAGGGGGAAAGCCCGGAGGGGCAAGCGCGGGUGGAUGAAGAAGGUUUUUGGAUCCAAAAACUCUUUUUAUAGGGGAAAACAAAAGUAGAAAUUAACAAUGCCGGUCAGAACGGACCCUAAGAAAAAGCCCAGGGCAAACGCAGGC
This 497-nucleotide ribosomal RNA is filed under the name uncultured bacterium. RNAcentral describes it as "partial 16S ribosomal RNA". It matches the Rfam family "Bacterial small subunit ribosomal RNA", at positions 30 to 508 of the family's 1533-position model. The record is from RNAcentral.